Leptonychotes weddellii (Weddell seal) is the source of this 206-nucleotide non-coding RNA. NCBI's taxonomy places the organism in Eukaryota, Metazoa, Chordata, Mammalia, Carnivora, Phocidae. The record is from RefSeq and is a predicted model, not a curated record.
UUUAUUUUAACUUUAUUGCUUUAUUUAAUUCAUAGUGAAUCUUUUCUUUUCAAGGCACAUUUUACGAUAUGGGAUAAGCUGUUGGGAAGAUCUCGGAAAAUGGUAACUGAAGAUCAAACUAAACCUACAGAGGAAAGUGCAUCGGCCUAGUAACUUCCUAAAAUUUAAAUAUGUAUAGUAAAUUAAAAUAAAAGUUUUCUAUGAAA